UGGGGAAUCUUGCGCAAUGGGCGAAAGCCUGACGCAGCGACGCCGCGUGAGUGAUGAAGGCCUUCGGGUUGUAAAGCUCUGUGGGGAGAGACGAAUAAGCUUUGGCUAAUAUCCAGGGUGAUGACGGUAUCUCCUUAGCAAGCACCGGCUAACUCUGUGCCAGCAGCCGCGGUAAGACAGAGGGUGCAAACGUUGUUCGGAAUUACCGGGCGUAAAGCGCAUGUAGGCGGCCUAGCAGGUCGGAUGUGAAAGCCCUCGGCUCAACCGAGGAAGUGCAUUCGAAACCGCAAGGCUUGAGUCCCGGAGAGAGUAGUGGAAUUCUCGGUGUAGAGGUAAAAUUCGUAGAUAUCGGGAGGAACACCGGUGGCGAGAGCGGCUACCUGGGCCUGUACUGACGCUCAUGCACGAAAGCGUGGGGAGCAAACA
RNAcentral lists this ribosomal RNA (426 nucleotides) under uncultured bacterium. Its description in RNAcentral is "bacterial SSU rRNA". It matches the Rfam family "Bacterial small subunit ribosomal RNA", at positions 355 to 774 of the family's 1533-position model. The record is from RNAcentral.